GAAAUGCGAUAAGUAAUGUGAAUUGCAGAAUUCAGUGAAUCAUCGAAUCUUUGAACGCACAUUGCGCCCGCCAGUAUUCUGGCGGGCAUGCCUGUUCGAGCGUCAUUACAACCCUCAGGCCCCCGGGCCUGGCGUUGGGGAUCGGCGGAAGCCUCCUGCGGGCACAACGCCGUCCCCCAAAUACAGUGGCGGUCCCGCCGCAGCUUCCAUUGCGUAGUAGCUAACACCUCGCAACUGGAGAGCGGCGCGGCCACGCCGUAAAACACCCAACUUCUGAAUGUUGACCUCGAAUCAGGUAGGAAUACCCGCUGAACUUAAGC
RNAcentral lists this unclassified non-coding RNA (320 nucleotides) under plant metagenome. RNAcentral describes it as "partial contains 5.8S ribosomal RNA, internal transcribed spacer 2, and large subunit ribosomal RNA". The stretch from base 1 to 105 matches the Rfam family "5.8S ribosomal RNA", at positions 50 to 154 of the family's 154-position model. The record is from RNAcentral.